This 460-nucleotide ribosomal RNA is filed under the name uncultured bacterium. RNAcentral describes it as "partial 16S ribosomal RNA". It matches the Rfam family "Bacterial small subunit ribosomal RNA", at positions 338 to 795 of the family's 1533-position model. The record is from RNAcentral.
CCUACGGGCGGCAGCAGUGAGGAAUAUUGGUCAAUGGACGCUAGCCUGAACCAGCCAAGUAGCGUGAAGGAUGACUGCCCUAUGGGUUGUAAACUUCUUUUAUAUGGGAAUAAAACGAGGUAUGUGUACCUUUUUGCAUGUACCUUAUGAAUAAGGAUCGGCUAACUCCGUGCCAGCAGCCGCGGUAAUACGGAGGAUCCGAGCGUUAUCCGGAUUUAUUGGUUUUAAAGGGAGCGUAGGCGGGUGGUUAAGUCAGUGGUGAAAGUGUGCGGCUCAACCGGAAAAUUGCAUUUGAUACUGGUAGCCUUGAGUACAGUUGAGGUAGGCGGAAUGCGUGGUGUAGCGGUGAAAUGCUUAGAUAUCACGAAGAACACCGAUUGCGAAGGCAGCCUACUAAACUGCUACUGACGCUGAUGCUCGAAAGUGUGGGGAUCAAACAGGAUUAGAUACCCUAGUAGUC